CGCCUUGCCAGCCCGCUACAGAAACUCAAAGGAAUUGACGGGGGCCCGCACAAGCGGUGGAGUAUGUGGUUUAAUUCGAUGCAACGCGAAGAACCUUACCUGGUCUUGACAUCCCGGAGACCCUUAGGAAACUAGGGGGUGCUUCCAUCUGGAAGAAUCUGGAGACAGGUGCUGCAUGGCUGUCGUCAGCUCGUGUCGUGAGAUGUUGGGUUAAGUCCCGCAACGAGCGCAACCCUUGCCUUUAGUUGCCAGCAGUUCGGCUGGGCACUCUAAAGGGACUGCCGGUGUUAAACCGGAGGAAGGUGGGGAUGACGUCAAGUCCUCAUGGCCUUUAUGACCAGGGCUACACACGUACUACAAUGGCCGAUACAAAGGGCAGCGACACUGCGAGGUGAAGCCAAUCCCGUAAAAUCGGUCUCAGUCCGGAUUGGAGUCUGCAACUCGACUCCAUGAAGUUGGAAUCGCUAGUAAUCGUGGAUCAGCAUGCCACGGUGAAUACGUUCCCGGGCCUU
Molecule: ribosomal RNA, 512 nt
Filed under: uncultured Desulfobulbus sp.
Lineage: Bacteria; Pseudomonadati; Thermodesulfobacteriota; Desulfobulbia; Desulfobulbales; Desulfobulbaceae
Description: bacterial SSU rRNA
Rfam family: Bacterial small subunit ribosomal RNA
Source: RNAcentral